Molecule: unclassified non-coding RNA, 379 nt
Filed under: fungal sp.
Lineage: Eukaryota; Fungi
Description: partial internal transcribed spacer region
Rfam family: Eukaryotic small subunit ribosomal RNA (bases 1-46)
Source: RNAcentral
AAGUCGUAACAAGGUCUCCGUAGGUGAACCUGCGGAGGGAUCAUCUAUAAAAAAAAUAUGAUGAUGAUGAUGAUGAUGAUGUUUAUUCAUCAUCAUCAUCAUUAUUCAUAUAUUAUCCAUUAUAGGAUGUUUUGGUGUUGUUAUUAUAUAAUAUUCUUAUAAUGUUGCAGGAUGGAAUUGUGUGUAUGUGUGUGUGUGUCGGUGUUUGUGUGUGUGUUGUAUGUGUGUUUGUGUUUUAAGGAGUAUUGUUACUCUUUUUAACCUUCCCCACAUACACUCUACUCUUAUUACUACCCAUCACUACACCAAUAAAAAACCAACCAGGAUCAUAAAUUCCAAACAAAGUUUAUAACUUUUGGCAACGGAUCUCUUGGUUCUC